Molecule: long non-coding RNA, 2596 nt
Organism: Betta splendens (Siamese fighting fish)
Lineage: Eukaryota; Metazoa; Chordata; Actinopteri; Anabantiformes; Osphronemidae
Source: Ensembl
UGGAAUUGUUGUCACAGACUCGAGAUCUGAUUGGUUACCGCCUGGCGACACAAGCCUGGUGUAAUAUGAUUGGAUAAAAACUUUACAAUAAUAUACAACAGUCGGAGCGGCGAAACCGAGCGGAUAUAAUAUGACACGAAGAAAACAGACCAUGGAGAAUCAUUUAUGACCUCUCUACAAACAAAAUCUGAGCAUGUUUAGGUUAGCAGAGAACGUUUUGCUGCGUCUGAUGGCCGCCACUGCGUCCGAGUUUGCGUUGCCACGCACGUCCGUGCACGUGCGUCAAAACCAUGGUAACCAGCGCUGAGUUAAUAAAAGGAGCGCAGCUAUGUGAUUUUACACAUUUGCCUCUGGUCUUGGAGACAUUGGCAGCAACACAAAAAUCUGCGACCGUAUUAAUUUGUUUUGCUGGAGCAAUGGAGCGCCACUUGCCCCCGAGGAUCUGGCAGCUCUGGAGAAGGUUCAGACGGUGGAGCCGCCUAGGCAGACAGCGGUGGCAGCCGGAGGGGGUUGCUGUGCACGGUCCACCUAGACUUCCUCCACCUAGACGUCGGAGACCUCGUUGUGACCCACCCACUUCCCACGUUCAGGAAGUUGGUCCCCCCACCUCUGACAUUGAGGUACCCCGCUCUGACCUGCCUUCUUACUUACAUGUUCCACCACGCUGGGGACACACACCACUUCCUCUUUAUUCAGAUCUUUUUCCUUCUUAUCCUCCUCCACGCUCUCCCUGUUCCUCCUUCUUCUAUUCCUUCCACACCCCCUCCUCCCUAUUCUCCUGUUCCUUCUUGCUCUUGUGCUCCUCCUCAUUCUCCUCCACGCUCUCCUGUUCCUUCUUCUAUUCCUUCCACACCCCCUCCUCCCUAUUCUCCUCCACGCUCUCCUGUUCCUUCUUCUCUUCCUUCCACACCCCCUCCUCCCUAUUCUCCUCCACGCUCUCCUGUUCCUUCUUCUGUUCCUUCCACACCCCUCCUCCCUAUUCUCCUCCACGCUCUCCUGUUCCUUCUUCUGUUCCUUCCACACCUCCUCCUCCCUAUUCUCCUGUUCCUUCUUGCUCUUGUGCUCCUCCUCAUUCUCCUCCACGCUCUCCUGUUCCUCCUUCUUCUGUUCCUUCCACACCCCCUCCUCCCUAUUCUCCUCCACGCUCUCCUGUUCCUUCUUCUGUUCCUUCCACACCCCCUCCUCCCUAUUCUCCUCCACGCUCUCCUGUUCCUUCUUCUGUUCCUUCCACACCCCCUCCUCCCUAUUCUCCUCCACGCUCUCCUGUUCCUUCUUCGUUCCUUCCACACCCCUCCUCCCUAUUCUCCUCCACGCUCUCCUGUUCCUUCUUCUGUUCCUUCCACACCCCCUCCUCCCUAUUCUCCUCCACGCUCUCCUGUUCCUUCUUCUGUUCCUUCCACACCCCCUCUUCCCUAUUCUCCUCCACGCUCUCCUGUUCCUUCUUCUGUUCCUUCCACACCCCCUCCUCCUUAUUCUCCUGUUCCCUCUUGCUCUCCUGCUCCUCCUCUUUCUCCUCCAUGCUCUUCUGCUCUUUCUCCUUCUGUUUCACCUUCACCCCCUCCUCCUUCUCUUCUGGUUCCACCUAUUGUGGCUCCUUCUGAGCUGCCGUGUGUUCCCGAUGCUGGCCUUUUCCUGUCUCCUGUUAUUCAGGACUCAGGCUCCAUAGUGGAAGGGACCAGCGAGGCCUUAGCGGUUGGGGAGAACAACGAGGCUCCUAGCAGCAGCAGCAGCACAUCUGCUAGAGGUAGGAAGGACAGUGAUGGGGAGGGGGCUGCUCCCAAAAGACCAUGUUUUACUGUGAGACACUGUGUCACACAGUAAACUUGGUCUUUCCCUUUGUUGGAUGGCAACAGCCACCUCUUCAUUCACGGAUAACUGGCUUCUGUUUCUGACAGGACCAGUUUAUCCUACUGUCUUCUUUUUUUCUUUCCUGAUUUCUUUCUUCAUAAUUUUAAAUAUUCAUCCAAACCCUGAGAACUAGCCUUUGCGUCUGGCUGGGCAGUUCUUGUCCCAGGUAGCGUCUGGCACUGGGACCUUUCUUUCUUUCCUGGAUGAAUACAGGUUUGAAUGCUAAUAUUUAACCUGAGAACUAGCCUUUGCGUCUGGCUGGGCAGUUCUUGUCCCAGGUUGCGUCUGGCACUGGGGCCUGCGUUUAGAGUUCAGCAUGGUGGUGGGAUGGACUUUUCUUUCACCCUGAAGGCUGAGUUCAGCGCCUGGCAGGGCCGUCGACCCCCCCCCAUACAAGUUGCUCGAGCGUCUGGCAGGGUAACUAUUAUGUUUAUUGCUAUGUUUUCCUCUACAGCAAUAGGUCAGUUCAGUCACAGUGGCACUGGGGACACUUGUCAUCUCCCACUGAAGCUCCUCAAGGGCAGAGGAGGAUGGACUGCAGUGUCAUGUGUUAUGGAGGGGACACAUGGUUGUCUGCUGUUCUAAUCAUGCUCCACACCACAGGGAGCAGUGCCGAUGAUACUGAUGUACUGACCAGUGUGUCUGUCAGUCCAGUGGACAAAGGUGAGUACAGGAUUUUGAUUGUGUGACAAUUUCAAAGAUGUCAAAGGACGUGGUUGAGUGGGAAUAAAUGUUUGUAUUACAUUCA